RNAcentral lists this ribosomal RNA (484 nucleotides) under uncultured bacterium. RNAcentral describes it as "partial 16S ribosomal RNA". It matches the Rfam family "Bacterial small subunit ribosomal RNA", at positions 30 to 507 of the family's 1533-position model. The record is from RNAcentral.
AUUGAACGCUGGCGGCAGGCCUAACACAUGCAAGUCGAGCGGAUGAAGGGAGCUUGCUCCUGGAUUCAGCGGCGGACGGGUGAGUAAUGCCUAGGAAUCUGCCUGGUAGUGGGGGAUAACGUCCGGAAACGGGCGCUAAUACCGCAUACGUCCUGAGGGAGAAAGUGGGGGAUCUUCGGACCUCACGCUAUCAGAUGAGCCUAGGUCGGAUUAGCUAGUUGGUGGGGUAAAGGCCUACCAAGGCGACGAUCCGUAACUGGUCUGAGAGGAUGAUCAGUCACACGGGAACUGAGACACGGUCCAGACUCCUACGGGAGGCAGCAGUGGGGAAUAGUGGACAAUAGGCGGAAGCCUGAUCCAGCCAGGCCGCGUGUGUGAAGAAGGUCUUCGGAUUGUAAAGCACUUUAAGUUGGGAGGAAGGGCAGUAAGUUAAUACGUUGCUGUUUUGACGUUACCAACAGAAUAAGCACCGGCUAACUUCGUG